UGAGAGAAGGAAAGGGAGGAAGAAAAGGAGGGAGGGACAGAGGAAGGGAGGGAGAGUGGGAGAGAGGGAGGGGAGGGAUGCUCAGGCUGGUGGGUGACCUGGGAGAGGAGAGGGUGUUUGGGACGGGAGAGGAGGCAUGGGAAGAGGAGAGAGGAGGAGGAGGAGGAGGAGUAGGAUGGAGGGAGGAGGAGGGAGGAGGAGUGUUCGCCAUUUUGCGGGUCUUUCAUCGUGGUGUGGGCAGUUGGUUGCUGUGCGUCGUGUGGGGAGGACCGACGCUCCUGCCGCUCCUCGCUGGCACCCACGCUACUGGGGCUCACUACCCUCUCGCUGCCCUAGGACUGUGCUGGUGUUGAACUCGUGACCCGCCUCAUUGUGGACUUGUUACCGCGGCGCCCUGCUCUCGCCUCACACCCGUCGCUUAAUGAGGCAGAAAUGAGGCCGCGAUAAAAAUUAAUACGCAUAUCAGGAAGUAUCACCCAUUGGCAGGAGAGGGAGCGACGACACACACACAGACAGAACCUUACAAGUCGAGCCUGCCGCGGACAACAAAACGACGGGGAUUUCACCUUCUGCCACCCCGUCUGCAGCCUUCUCAUCACCACCCUUCCUACCCUGGCGAGGACAACAGAGGAACUGAGGGCGCCGCGUCACCUUUGGCCUCCCCUGCUGGGUUGAGGGAAGCUGCAAUGUUCGGCUGAGAAGCAAUAUUGCACUUUCCCCGGCCUAGAGGGGGUGGAACCUGCUUCGUGAGACAACACCCAAACACUCGUCACCUUCUGCCUCCGUCCCAGCGCGAGCAAAGGAGAAACAAAUGCCAGUCGACGUGUUUGGUCUUACCGGAAUGGUAGAUAGAGGGUUCACUUAUCUUACGUGUCUUGCAAGGAAGAUGUCUGUUCUGGUUACGAGUGUUGUAGUGAAUUCCUUUGUUUUGUGUUCUUAGAUAGUCAGGAUUAUGGGUUAACUCUUAUAUUUGGUGAAGAUCGUAUGGCUAAAGUUUGUUUCUUAAGUGUAGUUAGUUUUUACUUCUUUAUUGAUGGUCUAGAUUAGUUUGUAGUUAUUUUUUCCCAUAGUUGUAUUGAUUGUGAGAGAGAGAGAGAGAGAGAGAGAGAGAGAGAGAGAGAGAGAGAGAGAGAGAGAGAGAGAGAGAGAGAGAGAGAGAGAGAGUUCGCAGCCAGUAUUUCAUCAUUAAAAUGCAGUAGACCAGGUGAGGACAAGUGCAUUCUUGUGGUUCAAAGUCAAAUUGCACUAGUCCCGGCCUGCUGUACUUGCGUCCUGCCUGCCCCACCACCACCACCACCACCACCACCCCUCCCAGUGAUGCACCUACUCCGUCAACAACUCGGAAAUACCAAGAUGAAAGGAAAGGAGGCUUACUCGGAUAUAAUGCAUAGUUUGAAGUUGCUCUUGUGAAUAGACUGUGUGUGUGUGUGUGUGUGUGUGUGUGUGUGUGUUUUUGUGUUUUUGAAUAUUUUGUACUUAUGCCUUCUGUUAAAUGAAUGCGAUAUAAUAUUGUUGUAUUGAGUGUAUUCUUAAGUUUUACACUUCCUGUUAGACUAAUACGAUGUAACAGCUCUGGCGAAUACGAUGUCAACUUGUUCUGGCUUAUAUUUUCUGUAUGUCACUAAUAUUGCUGUGUUGAGUAUAUUCUGGGUCUACCUGUUUUAAUUCUUGGCUUUUAUACUUUAUGUUAAACUAAUA
Molecule: long non-coding RNA, 1698 nt
Organism: Scylla paramamosain (green mud crab)
Lineage: Eukaryota; Metazoa; Arthropoda; Malacostraca; Decapoda; Portunidae
Exons: 2
Source: RefSeq, a predicted model, not a curated record